Molecule: ribosomal RNA, 547 nt
Filed under: uncultured bacterium
Lineage: Bacteria
Description: bacterial SSU rRNA
Rfam family: Bacterial small subunit ribosomal RNA
Source: RNAcentral
AAUAGAUACCCGGGUAGUCCACGCCGUAAACGACUGAGUGCUAAGUGUUGGGGGGUUUCCGCCCCUCAGGUGCGUGCAGCUAACGCAUUAAGCACUCCGCCUGGGGAGUACGGUCGCAAGACUGAAACUCAAAGGAAUUGACGGGGGCCCGCACAAGCGGUGGAGCAUGUGGUUUAAUUCGAAGCAACGCGAAGAACCUUACCAGGUCUUGACAUCCCGGUGACCACUAUGGAGACAUAGUUUCCCCUUCGGGGGCAACGGUGACAGGUGGUGCAUGGUUGUCGUCAGCUCGUGUCGUGAGAUGUUGGGUUAAGUCCCGCAACGAGCGCAACCCUUAUUCUUAGUUGCCAUCAUUCAGUUGGGCACUCUAAGGAGACUGCCGGUGAUAAACCGGAGGAAGGUGGGGAUGACGUCAAAUCAUCAUGCCCCUUAUGACCUGGGCUACACACGUGCUACAAUGGACGGUACAAACGGUUGCCAACCCGCGAGGGGAGCUAAUCCGAUAAAACCGUUCUCAGUUCGGAUUGUAGGCUGCAACUCGCCUACA